AUUGAACGCUGGCGGCAGGCCUAACACAUGCAAGUCGAGCGGAUGAAGGGAGCUUGCUCCUGGAUUCAGCGGCGGACGGGUGAGUAAUGCCUAGGAAUCUGCCUGGUAGUGGGGGAUAACGUCCGGAAACGGGCGCUAAUACCGCAUACGUCCUGAGGGAGAAAGUGGGGGAUGUUCGGACCCCACCCUAUAAGAGGGGCCUAGGUCGGAUUAGUUAGUUGGUGGGUUAAAGGCCUACCAGGGAGAGGAUCGGUAACUGGUCGGAGAGGAUGAUCAGUCACAUUGGAAGUGAGACACGGUCCAGACUCCUACGUGAGGCAGCAGUGGGGAAUAUUGGACAAUGGGCGAAAGCCUGAUCCAGCCAUGCCGCGUGUGUGAAGAAGGUCUUCGGAUUGUAAAGCACUUUAAGUUGUGAGGAAGGGCAGUAAGUUAAUACCUUGCUGUUUUGACGUUACCAACAGAAUAAGCACCGGCUAACUUCGUG
RNAcentral lists this ribosomal RNA (484 nucleotides) under uncultured bacterium. RNAcentral describes it as "partial 16S ribosomal RNA". It matches the Rfam family "Bacterial small subunit ribosomal RNA", at positions 30 to 507 of the family's 1533-position model. The record is from RNAcentral.